Small nuclear RNA from Jaculus jaculus (lesser Egyptian jerboa), 167 nucleotides. Its record names the gene U1. It matches the Rfam family "U1 spliceosomal RNA". Rfam says of the family: U1 is a small nuclear RNA (snRNA) component of the spliceosome (involved in pre-mRNA splicing). Its 5' end forms complementary base pairs with the 5' splice junction, thus defining the 5' donor site of an intron. There are significant differences in sequence and secondary structure between metazoan and yeast U1 snRNAs, the latter being much longer (568 nucleotides as compared to 164 nucleotides in human). NCBI's taxonomy places the organism in Eukaryota, Metazoa, Chordata, Mammalia, Rodentia, Dipodidae. The record is from Ensembl.
AAACUAGCCAGUAUUCAGGGGAGAUACCAUGAUCACAAAGGUGGUUUUCCUGAGGCCAAACUUAUCCAUUGCAUCCCAGAUGUGAUGACUCCUUUGAUUUACCCAAAUGUGGGAAACUUGACUGCAUAAUUUGUGGUACUGGGGGACUGUGUUUACACACUCCCCUG